UCCCUGGAGCAGGAAUGUAGCUAUGCAAAGAGAAAGUACAGUCAUGAAGAAAACUCUGAAGGCAGUUAGCCUCAGAGAGAUGAAACUGUGAGAGCUGAUAAGAUUUUCAACCUGAAUCCAGCCUGGAUCCCUCCACGGGACCUGAGCUGUCACCACUGACCUGGCAUGGCUAGGAGCCGGUCGGCAAGGUGGGACCUGGAAGAGUUGUUUUCCAGCCUUUUUCCAAAGGCCAGGGUUCGCUGAAGUGGAGUAGAGGCUGACCUUCUGCCUCAGUCUCUCAGAUGCUGGAUUACAGACAUGUUCCAUCAAGCCCCACCAGAUGUCCUACUUACACCGUGGCCGGAUGACCCUCUCCUGACUGCUUCCUCUGCCUUUUCCUGAACGCGCACUUCCCCAGAAGAUCUUUGCUUGUUGCGUUUACCCAUUGUCCUGCCAUGGCCAAGUGCCACGGGCAGCAUAGCUUCGACAGAAAACCAUUGUCUCAUGGUUCUGGAGGCUGGACAUCCCAGGUCAAGGUGUCGGAUGUGUUAGUUUCCUGGAUUGCAAAUGGCCACCCUCUCCCAUUUCUGGGGGAGCUGGCAGUACACCAGACCAGCAACUAUUUCAAUGGAGAAAAAUUUCUUCUCUCACUCAGCAAACACAUUUUGUUACUUGGAGGAGUGCUUCCAGGAGCACUUGGUGGUGAGUGUUAAUAAGACUCUUACAGCUGAGGGUCAACUCCUUAUGAAUAUUUUUAUCAGGCUAGCAGACGGUUCUGAUAAAGACACUUGUGCUGCAGCCAUGGUGACCUGAAUUCUCCAGAACCCGAUAAAAGGGGAGAACUGACUCCCAGAAGUUGUCCUCACUGAUGCCCCAGGGGAACUUUGAUGGGAUCUGCUUUGGUUUGUUGUUGGGACCUUAGGGAGGAGGGCAUGGAUUUGAUCAAUAGGCUGGAACCAAAGGCCUCAUGCACACUAAGUAAGAACAGCAGCACCAUGCUACACUCCUCACUUCCUUCCUUUUCAUGGUCGAAUAGUAUUCCUUUGCCUGUAUAUAUCACAUUUUAUUUAUCUAGUCAUCUACAGAUUGACAUCUGGAUAUUUUACAGUUAUUUGCUUGUAGUGAGCAAGUAUCUUUCUGAGACACCGUAUCUGUGUAUGUGCCUAGAAUGGUAAUUAUUAAGUACUUAUGGAAAUUCUACAUUUAAUCUUUUGAGGACUCACCAACUGUUUUAUAUAAGAGUAUUUUACAUUUCUAUAAGUAAUGUUUGAGGGUCUCCAUUCUGAAUUUUUCCAUCAGUAAUUUCUGUUUUGUUUAGUUUUACACCCAUUAUAAUGGGUAUGAAGUAU
Molecule: non-coding RNA, 1328 nt
Organism: Peromyscus maniculatus bairdii (prairie deer mouse)
Lineage: Eukaryota; Metazoa; Chordata; Mammalia; Rodentia; Cricetidae
Source: RefSeq, a predicted model, not a curated record